This is a long non-coding RNA of Cucumis sativus (cucumber), 1430 nucleotides long. RefSeq lists it as uncharacterized. Lineage: Eukaryota; Viridiplantae; Streptophyta; Magnoliopsida; Cucurbitales; Cucurbitaceae. The record is from RefSeq and is a predicted model, not a curated record. The transcript has 4 exons.
UUUUUCUUUUUCUUCUUUUUCUUCUUUUUCUUCUUUUUCUCUCCUUCUUCCUCCGUUUCUCUUCUCUUCUUUCUGCGCUAGCAUCAGCCACCCACCAUCUUCUUCCUCUUUCCUUUCCGUUGCAGCCGUCGCCACCCCCUUCCUCUCCUCUUCUCCGUUCGUCCACUACAGCCGCCGCACAGUCCAUUUGCCCCUGCCUCCGUCCGACCUUGUCCGCCCACAACCGUCGUGUCUCUCCGCCCACAACCGUCGCGCCUCCGUCUGAAAUCAAGCCGUCGUCCAGAUCUGCGAAGUCGCCACACCUUCGUCUGUGCCGGUCUUCAUCGCGAAAUCAGCCGUUCUAAUCUGCCUUGCACGCUGUUGCUUGGGUCGACUGGUGCACUAACGUUUCUGCAUUGCCACGAAGAAUAUUGGGUUUUUGUGGUGUCAAUUGUGGACAGUGUUUGAAUUUUUGGGUUCACCAAAGUUGCUUCGAGUCCAAUACUCUAUUUAAUUUGAGUUCGUUCGUUGCAUUGUAGUUUGAAAAAAGAGGUUAAGUAAGGUUAAGGCAAAAGUAACAAGGGUGACAAACUGACGAGGGACAGGAAGGAAGCGUGACUACCAUAGGGAAUAUGUCAUUUUUGCUUCCGCUUUAUGUUUUUGAUGUUUAAAACAUUGUGAUGUAACUGAGCUUACGAACUACUUUUUUUUUGUAAACAGUACUUUUAAAGUUUUGAAUAUUUGAAAUCGAGCCCGACUUAAAUUUUUUUUCCUCGAUUGUAUUUUUUUGGGUCGUUACAGUUGGUAUCAGAGCCUAAGUUUUAGGCUCUGUAGACUAACUUGUGAUGCAAGUCUAUGUUUUGUGUCUCUAUGGCUAACGCGACCCUUCGUCUCUCGUCAGGAAUUAUGCCGCUAAAGAGGGGUGUUCGUAGAGGAGGUCGUAGAGGUCGAGGUAGAGGAGCAGGUCGUAAUCAACCUGCUGAGGGUCAAGCUGAUCAGCAAAUUCCUGCUGCACUAGUGACUCACACCUAGUUUAGUGAUACAACACCUACGUUUAGAAGGUAGUAUGUCCAAAGAAAGAUCAUCCAUUAAUAUGAUCAAGUUAAGCGAUCACAACAUUGCACUUAAUUAUCUGUAGACGAUCUUAGAGUGAUAACCAUAGAGCUUAGCUCAUCUACGCACCUAAACUCCUUUUAGAUGCGAGAAUUGACUCUCUUUGUGUACUUAGGCUCCAUCUAAGUAUGAUGAUGUUAAUAGUGUAGACUUAGGCCUUCCCUUAUGUAUGUGAAACUUCAUCUUACUUGAGGUUAUUGUUCCUUCUUCUUCUUGUGAAACUCCCUUCACUUGAGAAAUUUAUGCUUUUCUAAGUGUACGAGAACUUCCUUGUCAUGAGAAUGUGUGCCCUUAAAUCCUCUGAGUUUCAGAAUUACUUCUCGAAUGAUUCAACUUUA